GGUGGCGGCGGCGAGGGCCUGGUCGCGGUCCUUGCCGAGGGCUAUGAGCCGGUCAGGUCCUGCCGCGUUCAGGUUCGCGUCGCUGCUG
RNAcentral lists this transfer RNA (88 nucleotides) under Nocardia africana. RNAcentral describes it as "tRNA-Gly(gcc)". Lineage: Bacteria; Bacillati; Actinomycetota; Actinomycetes; Mycobacteriales; Nocardiaceae. The record is from RNAcentral.